Molecule: ribosomal RNA, 367 nt
Filed under: uncultured organism
Description: bacterial SSU rRNA
Rfam family: Bacterial small subunit ribosomal RNA
Source: RNAcentral
CGAAGGAUGCAAGCGUUAUCCGGAUUCAUUGGGUUUAAAGGGAGCGUAGUGGACUGAUAAGUCAGUGGUGAAAUCUUCGAGCUUAACUCGGAAAUUGCCAUUGAUACUGUUGGUCUUGAGUACAGUUGCUGUGGGCGGGAUAUGACAUGUAGUGGUGAAAUACAUAGAGAUGUCAUAGAACACCGAUUGCGAAGGCAGCUCACAAAGCUGUAACUGACACUGAGGCUCGAAAGUGCGGGGAUCAAACAGGAUUAGAUACCCUGGUAGUCCGCACCGUAAACGAUGAUUACUCGCUGCUAGAUGGCAACAUUUAGUGGCUUAGCGAAAGCGAUAAGUAAUCCACCUGGGGAGUACGCCGGCAACGGUG